CACUGGAGGCAGCGGUUCAUCGAUCUGUUCCUGAAUUGGGUAUUCGUUAAAUUCAUUGCAGUAAUCGAUCGAUAAACCUCUGCAUCCAGC
Molecule: non-coding RNA, 90 nt
Organism: Spinacia oleracea (spinach)
Lineage: Eukaryota; Viridiplantae; Streptophyta; Magnoliopsida; Caryophyllales; Amaranthaceae
Source: Rfam